CCCUGGCAGUGCCCAAGGCCAGGUUGGACACUGGGGCUGGGAGCAGCCUGGCACAGUGGAAGGUGUCCCUGCCAGGUGUCCCCAGGGAUGGGAAUGAGAUCUCCAAGGUCCCUUCCAGCCCAAACCUGGCUUGGACUGCAC
Molecule: long non-coding RNA, 141 nt
Organism: Passer domesticus (house sparrow)
Lineage: Eukaryota; Metazoa; Chordata; Aves; Passeriformes; Passeridae
Exons: 2
Source: RefSeq, a predicted model, not a curated record